Molecule: small nucleolar RNA, 70 nt
Filed under: Cavia porcellus (domestic guinea pig)
Lineage: Eukaryota; Metazoa; Chordata; Mammalia; Rodentia; Caviidae
Source: RNAcentral
GAGCUAGACAACCUUUGAAGGUAUAUCAGCAGUAUGAUGGAUUUAACCUGCCAGUCACCUUCAGCCAAGA